Molecule: long non-coding RNA, 2248 nt
Filed under: Marmota monax (woodchuck)
Lineage: Eukaryota; Metazoa; Chordata; Mammalia; Rodentia; Sciuridae
Source: RNAcentral
GUAAAAUCUUUCUUAUCCUUUAACUUUCAGCGCAUAAGCCACAUCCUCUGUGAAGACUUUCAAAGAAGGCCACAGCCAGCCACUCCCACCUGUGUUCCUCAGAGCAUUCUGCACCUAUAAUGUGGGUGAACACACUUCUGAAUCAGACAUGGAGAUGUGACAGUUCAGACAGCUAAGCUGAGAAUGUGCUCCUGGAGAUGACGGGCCAGUUAUUGGAGCAGAGCCCACAACAGAUGCUCAAGGAGGGGAUACUCUUCGCCCUCGGCUACCAUGCUGAGGGCUGGGCAGCCUCUUCCAAGGUUGGGAGCUGCUGGGGCUCUUUGUAUCCGCCCUGCGGUGGACAUGCUGCCCAUCAGUUGUUUGCUGAAUGUAUGAAGGUUACCGGCCUAAUGAAAAUCUAAGACUUGAAUCCAAAAAUCCUUUGGAGAAAUGCACUUGCAGGACAUGGGAAAAUACCUCAUUGAUGCUAAAAAGAAAAAAUUGGAAAACUGGCGAAGUUUGCACCUUUUUUUUUCCUCCUCCAAUUGUUUUAGUGAUACCAGAAAUGUAUCUAGCCUGUGCACAUUUCUCCAAAUACCCAUCUAACCAACCAACCAGCUGUCUGUAAUGGACCCCCCACCAUCGGCAUGAGCACCAGGCCUGGAUUUAAGUCUUGGCUUCCUCACUGGAACACUUCUGUCCUAGCCUAUACUUCCUCUUCCUCAUCUCUAAAAUGGGGAUAAUAGUGGCUACUUGCAGGGGUUGCUGUGAAGAUUCUAGGAGUGAAUUGAAGGAAAUUAGCAAGCACAGGUCUGACGAAGGAGUCUUUGUUAUAGGCACAAAGAUAACGUGUGGCUCAUCACUAUAAACAGGAACUAGAAGGCAAGGUCAUGCAUGUUCUAAAAUAAAAUUAGGAUUUCAUUGGGAAUUAUAAAAGUGAAGUCAGUUAAGAAUAUUACUGAUAUUUGAUCACUUUAACAUAAGAAGAUGCAGUCUCCCUAAACUUUAAAGUUCUCUGACUUUCACCCUUGCAGUUUACAACCGGGCUGGGGGAGGUGUGAUCCUCCAUUUGUUUUCCCUCACCUUUGUGGUUUUGAUCGGCUUGAUCUCAUCCCAAACCUUGCUGUGUGCCAGAAUCACUAGAGUGAGUGUUUUACGGACCUCUGGGCUCCACCCCAAACCUCCUGGAAUCAGUAUCAGGGACAGGAAGGGAAUUGUAAAUCUACACUUAGAGAAGCCUCCCGUGGUGGUUUUGAUAAUCUGCAAGGUUUGGGAAGGGCUAGCAUACGCAAACUGCUUAGUGCUCAACAUGGAGAAAUUUCUGAGCUUUUUAUGUCUUUUUAAUUAAAAAAAAAAGUUUAUCUUCACAUAGAAAGUCUUAGCUUUCUCAAUGCCCAUUUCACCUUUACUGUGGUCUCUAGGGGGAAAAAAAUGGGCACCACUGAAACAAUAGAAGGAAAAAAGGUGCAAACUUGGCCAGUUCCCCACCUUGUUAGCAUCUGAGAGGUCUUUACCCACGUCCUGCUGCGGCAAUUUAAAUGCUAAUGUAGCUAAGGAGCAUAAUCUUUGAGCAAUCAGAAGUGUUUUUACGACAAUCUUAUUUCUCUCUUGUGCCUUCUGUAUUUGUCCUUUUGCUUUUGGGUUAGAGAGGCAAUUGUUUAAAUUCUUUGGGCUUUCAAACCUUAAAAAGAAAAAUAAAAUACGUGUCCUAUCCUGAUAGCUUCUCCGAAGUUCUUGUAAAAGAGGAGGGACACAUUCCCCCUCUGAACCUGAGCUCUGCAAUUUGAAUGUGCUGAGUCACCCACUCUCUGCAGGGUCAAGUGCCUAGGAAAAGUACAGCAGAAAAUCACACUGGGAGCAGCUACCUGGUGUGACGUUAUUUGAAGAUGAAUAAGAAGAUCGGAAAGGGGACAGCGCAAAGAUGCACAGUAAUUUAUAUAGACUUUUAAGCUUGUUUUUCGGAAUUUCUAAUGGUUGGAUAAGUCCUCUCGGUGUUUGGUGAUUUAUUGGUGAACUUCUUUAACUAUUUCUUCCUGUUCUAGAACUUGAGAAUAAAUAUAAAUGAUAAAGUUGUCUUGUAAUGUCUAGAAAAAGGAGAAAAAAUUGUCUCUGUCAUUAUUCCAAAGUUUCUGUAAUUAAGAUUCUUGAACUAGAUUUCUUUUAAAGAAUUCCUAAUAAAAAAAAAUACAAGAAUUGAAAGCUUAUGUCUGAGUCAGUUUUAAUUUUUAGGAAGUCUGUUUUCCUAUUUUGUUCAUGCAGACGAAUAGAC